Molecule: ribosomal RNA, 228 nt
Filed under: uncultured bacterium
Lineage: Bacteria
Description: partial 16S ribosomal RNA
Rfam family: Bacterial small subunit ribosomal RNA
Source: RNAcentral
UGAGCAAUCUGCCCUUCACAUCGGAAUAACCAUUGGAAACGAUGGCUAAUACCGAAUAUGACUUCGGAUCGCAUGAUCUGAAGUGGAAAGCUCCGGCGGAGAAGGAUGAGCUCGCGGCCUAUCAGCUAGUUGGUGUGGGUAAUGGCCCACCAAGGCGACGACGGGUAGCCGGCCUGAGAGGGUGACCGGCCACACUGGGACUGAGACACGGCCCAGAUCCUACGGGGG